RNAcentral lists this ribosomal RNA (495 nucleotides) under uncultured bacterium. RNAcentral describes it as "partial 16S ribosomal RNA". It matches the Rfam family "Bacterial small subunit ribosomal RNA", at positions 28 to 507 of the family's 1533-position model. The record is from RNAcentral.
GAUGAACGCUGGCGGCGUGCCUAAUACAUGCAAGUCGAACGCUGAAGGAGGAGCUUGCUCUUCUGGAUGAGUUGCGAACGGGUGAGUAACGCGUAGGUAACCUGCCUGGUAGCGGGGGAUAACUAUUGGAAACGAUAGCUAAUACCGCAUGACAACAGUUAUUGCAUGAUAACUGUUUAAAAGGGGCAACUGCUCCACUACCAGAUGGACCUGCGUUGUAUUGGCUAGUUGGUGAGGUAACGGCUCACCAAGGCGACGAUACAUAGCCGACCUGAGAGGGUGAUCGGCCACACUGGGACUGAGACACGGCCCAGACGCCUACGGGAGGCAGCAGUAGGGAAUCUUCGGCAAUGGACGGAAGUCUGACCGAGCAACGCCGCGUGAGUGAAGAAGGUUUUCGGAUCGUAAAGCUCUGUUGUAAGAGAAGAACGAGUGUGAGAGUGGAAAGUUCACACUGUGACGGUAUCUUACCAGAAAGGGACGGCUAACUACGUG